Molecule: long non-coding RNA, 824 nt
Filed under: Homo sapiens (human)
Lineage: Eukaryota; Metazoa; Chordata; Mammalia; Primates; Hominidae
Description: HSALNT0095658
Source: RNAcentral
CCCCGAUCCAGCUGCCGACAACAGACCUUCAGGCUCUAUGGGAUUGCCAGGGAAAUCCCAUGAGCGUGUGUCUUCUUCUGGGAGAACCAGUGUGUUUCUAACCCGAUCUUCUAAUGCUUAAAAAUAGAUCAUUUUCAUGGCAUUUGAACCCCCUCUUGAGCCUAAUGAGAUUUAAAGAAGUCAGAGCUAGCAGAGAGAGCACGAAGACUCAAAGCAGAUGAUGGGAGAAUGUCUGUUCAGCUUCUGUUGAACCAAACCUCCAGGUUGAUUUUGGCCAGGAAUCCCCACUGGGGAUUCCUGGUGGAGGGCUGUGAACUUGCUGAGGAUAUGAAGAUAUCUGAAGUCAAUCAAUCAGAUUGCAACAUGACACUUUUUAUCUUUUUAACCUAACUGCCAGCUGGAAACUUGGAAAUCCUCCCUCAGUUUUUGCUUAUUAUGGGAGACUGACUCAUGGACAUUAACUUGCUUCCAGCCCUUUCUAGCCCUACCCUCCCUGACUCAGCAUUUUAGUAUCACAAAGAAGUCCAGAAGUCAUGUCCUUGGUGACUGUUGAAGCUGAAGCACAAAGAAGUGAAGUGACUGACCCAACUAUCUAUAACCAGGAGCAGCAGAGCCUGGGUUACACAUCCAUUCACCCAUAGGUGCAUGCAUGAGACUCAUUCAACACACACUUAUUAGCAUCUACCAGGUUCCAGGCGAUAUGCUAACUCCUGGGGCUACAGAGUUAUAAUUAAGAUAGACCCUCUUCCUGCUCUGUUAACACUCAUGGUCCUGUAGAGAAGAUAGUCAUGAAAGGAAUUAUUUGCAUUUGUAAAAUGUGCACA